CUUUGUGCAAGGGUAAAGAAACUUAAUUUUAUACAGACUGAGUAGCCAAAGGUAGACUGUGUUAUGUACAUUUCUUACCUAGGAGUACAGGACUUCAGUGUGUAUACAAACAUUUAUUGGCAGGGUGAAGAUGAACAGCUACUUUACAUGUUUUUGGGAGUGAUUUUAUUUUAUUUUCGAUCAUUUUACUUCUAAAAUAAUAGUGCUCUCAGAUUAUUUAAGUUGUUCAUAUGUAAGGGUGUAUAAACAUACUCAUAUCUUCUCAUGUGAUGUCAGUUUUCCAGCCAAUAUCCAGCCAGUUUCCUGCAAAACUCUACAUGAAUCCUCAUGCAGAAGUAGAACUCAAAACUCCCAAAUUAGAUUGGAGCAUAGAAGUGCAGAAUAUUGCCAUUGAGCUGACCAAGCCCCAGUACUUAAGUAUGAUUGACCUUUUGGAAUCGUUGGAUUAUAUGGUUAGAAAUGUACCUUAUAGGAAAUAUAAACCUAAUUUACCACUUCAUACCAAUUGUAGGCAAUGGUGGAAGUAUGCCAUUGAUUCAGUUCUUGAAGUUCAUAUAAGAAGAUGUACACAGAUGUGGUCAUGGUGUAACAUAAAGAAGCAUAGAGAGUUACUCAAGAGUUAUAAAAUCGCUUACAAGAAUAAGCUAACUCAGACUAAACUCUUGGAAGAAAUCCAGAAACAAAUUCAGGUAUACUUUGUGCACAGUGGUGAGAGCCCUUAAUUGUCUGAUCACCUUUUAAUGUUGAUU
RNAcentral lists this long non-coding RNA (749 nucleotides) under Cavia porcellus (domestic guinea pig). RNAcentral describes it as "lncRNA (ENSCPOG00000040635.1)". Lineage: Eukaryota; Metazoa; Chordata; Mammalia; Rodentia; Caviidae. The record is from RNAcentral.